This 163-nucleotide ribosomal RNA is filed under the name uncultured bacterium. RNAcentral describes it as "partial 16S ribosomal RNA". It matches the Rfam family "Bacterial small subunit ribosomal RNA", at positions 355 to 510 of the family's 1533-position model. The record is from RNAcentral.
UAGGGAAUCUUCCACAAUGGACGAAAGUCUGAUGGAGCAACGCCGCGUGAGUGAAGAAGGGUUUCGGCUCGUAAAACUCUGUUGUUAAAGAAGAACAUAUCUGAGAGUAACUGUUCAGGUAUUGACGGUAUUUAACCAGAAAGCCACGGCUAGCUACGUGCCA